GACGUAGGGCGCGAGCGUUGUCCGGAUUUAUUGGGCGUAAAGAGCUCGUAGGCGGCUUGUCGCGUCGUCCGUGAAAACCUGCGGCUCAACUGCAGGCUUGCGGUCGAUACGGGCAGGCUAGAGUUCGGUAGGGGAGACUGGAAUUCCUGGUGUAGCGGUGAAAUGCGCAGAUAUCAGGAGGAACACCGGUGGCGAAGGCGGGUCUCUGGGCCGAUACUGACGCUGAGGAGCGAAAGCGUGGGGAGCGAACAGG
This 253-nucleotide ribosomal RNA is filed under the name uncultured bacterium. RNAcentral describes it as "partial 16S ribosomal RNA". It matches the Rfam family "Bacterial small subunit ribosomal RNA", at positions 524 to 776 of the family's 1533-position model. The record is from RNAcentral.